RNAcentral lists this ribosomal RNA (500 nucleotides) under uncultured Glomeromycotina. RNAcentral describes it as "partial small subunit ribosomal RNA". It matches the Rfam family "Eukaryotic small subunit ribosomal RNA", at positions 591 to 1092 of the family's 1831-position model. The record is from RNAcentral. Lineage: Eukaryota; Fungi; Glomeromycota.
CCAAUAGCGUAUAUUAAAGUUGUUGCAGUUAAAAAGCUCGUAGUUGAAUUUCGGGAUCAGUACGCUGGUCGUGCCUUCGGUAUGCACUGGUUUCACUGAUUCCUCCCUUCUGAAGAACCGUAAUGCCAUUCAGUUGGUGUGGCGGGGAAUCAGGAUUGUUACUUUGAAAAAAUUAGAGUGUUUAAAGCAGGCUCGCGCUUGAAUACAUUAGCAUGGAAUAAUGAAAUAGGACGUUUGAUCCUAUCUUGUUGGUUUCAAGGAUUGACGUAAUGAUUAAUAGGGAUAGUUGGGGGCAUUAGUAUUCAAUUGUCAGAGGUGAAAUUCUUGGAUUUAUUGAAGACUAACUACUGCGAAAGCAUUUGCCAAAGAUGUUUUCAUUAAUCAAGAACGAAAGUUAGGGGAUCGAAGACGAUCAGAUACCGUCGUAGUCUUAACCAUAAACUAUGCCGACUAGGGAUCGGAUGAUGUUAAUUUUUUAAUGACUCAUUCGGCGCCUUACG